Molecule: ribosomal RNA, 577 nt
Filed under: uncultured bacterium
Lineage: Bacteria
Description: partial 16S ribosomal RNA
Rfam family: Bacterial small subunit ribosomal RNA
Source: RNAcentral
UGGGGAAUUUUGGACAAUGGGCGAAAGCCUGAUCCAGCAAUGCCGCGUGUGUGAAGAAGGCCUUCGGGUUGUAAAGCACUUUUGUCCGGAAAGAAAUCCUUGGCUCUAAUACAGUCGGGGGAUGACGGUACCGGAAGAAUAAGCACCGGCUAACUACGUGCCAGCAGCCGCGGUAAUACGUAGGGUGCAAGCGUUAAUCGGAAUUACUGGGCGUAAAGCGUGCGCAGGCGGUUUGCUAAGACCGAUGUGAAAUCCCCGGGCUCAACCUGGGAACUGCAUUGGUGACUGGCAGGCUAGAGUAUGGCAGAGGGGGGUAGAAUUCCACGUGUAGCAGUGAAAUGCGUAGAGAUGUGGAGGAAUACCGAUGGCGAAGGCAGCCCCCUGGGCCAAUACUGACGCUCAUGCACGAAAGCGUGGGGAGCAAACAGGAUUAGAUACCCUGGUAGUCCACGCCCUAAACGAUGUCAACUAGUUGUUGGGAUUCAUUCCUUAGUAACGUAGCUAACGCGUGAAGUUGGCCGCCUGGGGAGUACGGUCGCAAGAUUAAAACUCAAAUGAAUUGACGGGGUCAUAGCUG